This 1009-nucleotide ribosomal RNA is filed under the name Monascus floridanus. Its description in RNAcentral is "SSU rRNA". It matches the Rfam family "Eukaryotic small subunit ribosomal RNA", at positions 85 to 1104 of the family's 1831-position model. Lineage: Eukaryota; Fungi; Ascomycota; Eurotiomycetes; Eurotiales; Aspergillaceae. The record is from RNAcentral.
AACUGCGAAUGGCUCAUUAAAUCAGUUAUCGUUUAUUUGAUAGUACCUUGCUACAUGGAUACCUGUGGUAAUUCUAGAGCUAAUACAUGCUAAAAACCCCGACUUCGGAAGGGGUGUAUUUAUUAGAUAAAAAACCAACGCCCUUCGGGGCUCCGUGGUGAAUCAUAAUAACUUAACGAAUCGCAUGGCCUUGCGCCGGCGAUGGUUCAUUCAAAUUUCUGCCCUAUCAACUUUCGAUGGUAGGAUAGUGGCCUACCAUGGUGGCAACGGGUAACGGGGAAUUAGGGUUCGAUUCCGGAGAGGGAGCCUGAGAAACGGCUACCACAUCCAAGGAAGGCAGCAGGCGCGCAAAUUACCCAAUCCCGACACGGGGAGGUAGUGACAAUAAAUACUGAUACGGGGCUCUUUCGGGUCUCGUAAUCGGAAUGAGUACGAUUUAAAUACCCUAACGAGGAACAAUUGGAGGGCAAGUCUGGUGCCAGCAGCCGCGGUAAUUCCAGCUCCAAUAGCGUAUAUUAAAGUUGUUGCAGUUAAAAAGCUCGUAGUUGAACCUUGGGUCUGGCUGGCCGGUCCGCCUCACCGCGAGUACUGGUCCGGCCGGACCUUUCCUUCUGGGGAACCCCAUGGCCUUCACUGGCUGUGGGGGGAACCAGGACUUUUACUGUGAAAAAAUUAGAGUGUUCAAAGCAGGCCUUUGCUCGAAUACAUUAGCAUGGAAUAAUAGAAUAGGACGUGCGGUUCUAUUUUGUUGGUUUCUAGGACCGCCGUAAUGAUUAAUAGGGAUAGUCGGGGGCGUCAGUAUUCAGCUGUCAGAGGUGAAAUUCUUGGAUUUGCUGAAGACUAACUACUGCGAAAGCAUUCGCCAAGGAUGUUUUCAUUAAUCAGGGAACGAAAGUUAGGGGAUCGAAGACGAUCAGAUACCGUCGUAGUCUUAACCAUAAACUAUGCCGACUAGGGAUCGGACGGGUUUCUAUGAUGACCCGUUCGGCACCUUACGAGAAAUCAAAGU